UAAACAGGAUCCCAUCUAACGUCCAAAAUCCCGUUGGCGCAUGUGGAGAGGUAUUUAUUCGGGAAACGUCAUCGAGCGGACGGCAAUCGGAUCGUCGAUGGCUCCGGUAACAAGGAAGCUCUUUUAUAGGUCAGAUCGAAGCGAGACCGAUCAACGUUCGGGUGUCCCGCGCGAACAGAGACGGCACGAAUCGCCGCUUUUAUUCUCGAGCACGCUCGGACCAAAUUGUAGCGCAACGAUAAUAAUAAUAAAAAUAGCCGGAGUUGACCUAACGGUUCCUCGCAUCCUACUGCCACACUUACUUUACGCUUACCUAACGCGACACCAGCGCGUUUCCAGCGGUGGCCUGCAGUAGUCGCGGUGAGACUUGGAAUCUUAUUUUACGAUGCAACUAGGGACUCGAUAUCCGUGUAGAACCUUCUCUAACUCUUCUAACGCGGUGCAAACAUUCCGACAGCCUUCCCGUAACCCCUGGGAGUCAUUCCUAAGUCGUCUCGAGCGUGAAACAUUUUACGCUUCGACGUUGACGAUUCGAAAGAGGUCAAGUGCGCUUGACGAUAUAUUCGAUGAACAAUAAGCGUAUCGAGAAAGGAACGGUACGACGAGGGAUCGAAUUAUUAUGAUCACUGGUCACUUUGAAUAUGGCGUGACUUGAUAUCGCGUGUGCUAUAUUCAACCGGAAGCAUCGAUGGAGGCUGAGCCAGGUACCUUGCACAGCAUUCGUUCGGCGAAGACAACAGUUUCGAUGAAACGGGCCAUCGAUCGGCCGGAUGACCCAAAACCAUCCGGAAUUACACCGUCGCAGCCAACUUUGCCAUGAGACACUGUCUACACAGGGUGAACGACCUAACUUAAAAAAAUUACAUACAAC
Colletes gigas is the source of this 871-nucleotide long non-coding RNA. RefSeq lists it as uncharacterized. The record is from RefSeq and is a predicted model, not a curated record. The transcript has 3 exons. Lineage: Eukaryota; Metazoa; Arthropoda; Insecta; Hymenoptera; Colletidae.